This 72-nucleotide transfer RNA is filed under the name Camelus bactrianus (Bactrian camel). It matches the Rfam family "tRNA". From Rfam's summary of the family: Transfer RNA (tRNA) molecules are approximately 80 nucleotides in length. Their secondary structure includes four short double-helical elements and three loops (D, anti-codon, and T loops). Further hydrogen bonds mediate the characteristic L-shaped molecular structure. tRNAs have two regions of fundamental functional importance: the anti-codon, which is responsible for specific mRNA codon recognition, and the 3' end, to which the tRNAs corresponding amino acid is attached (by aminoacyl-tRNA synthetases). tRNAs cope with the degeneracy of the genetic code in two manners: having more than one tRNA (with a specific anti-codon) for a particular amino acid; and 'wobble' base-pairing, i.e. permitting non-standard base-pairing at the 3rd anti-codon position. Lineage: Eukaryota; Metazoa; Chordata; Mammalia; Artiodactyla; Camelidae. The record is from Rfam by way of RNAcentral. RNAcentral also lists the same sequence under 2 other names.
GGGUAUAUAGGUCAGUGGUAGAGUGUGUGCUUAGCAUGCACGAGGUCCUGGGUUCAAUCCCCAGUACAUCUG